This 667-nucleotide long non-coding RNA is filed under the name Gallus gallus (chicken). Lineage: Eukaryota; Metazoa; Chordata; Aves; Galliformes; Phasianidae. The record is from RNAcentral.
CCCAAAUCCGCCCCGAUUCACCCCAAAUUCCCCACCUUGCUGAGCUCCGUCUCCGCUCCCAGGCGGUCGAACACCGACGUCCUCUGCAGAGCUGGGGCUGCAGGGCUGUGCCGUAUGCGGGGGUUCAGCACUGCGGCGUCGGCUGCAACGCGGCGCAGCUUUGGGGGCACCGGGGGGGAACUGUGGUUGGGGACGGUGAUGGAGAUGGAGGUGGGGUCGCGGCUGAGGCUGUUGGCGAUCAUCCGUCCGGCGGCGCUGUUGGCGCAGCGCCGCGGCUCCGGGGGGGCGCUGGGGGGGGUCAGCGCCUCUGUGGCUGCACGGCACAUCUCCUGCCUGUAGGCCACCUUGGCGUGUUUGAGGAUGGCGAUGACGUCGCCCACCAACGUGAUGCCCAACUCAUGCAUCAGCUCCUUGGUCAGGUCCAGCAGCAUGUGCUUGUGGAUGCGAUUGUCCACGAAGGUGACGGCGUAACUGACAGCGGGGCCAGGGGGGAUCCCCGCCUCCCGGAAGAACUGAAUCCACUCUGAGGUGGCCAUCGUCACCGACGUCGCAGCUCUGCCAUCACUGAGCGCCUGAAAUGGGGGGGGACGGGGAGGGGCUGCCCCAUAGGGACCCCUGCCCCACACGGACCCCUCCCCCGCCCCAUCGCGGCGCCUCGCACCCUCCG